CUGGCUACAGGCUUAACACAUGCAAUCGUGGGGAAACGGCAUUAUAUGCUUGCACAUUUGGACGUCGACCGGCGACGGGUGAGUAUCGGUAUCCAACCUGCCCCUUACUUGGGGAUACCCCGUCGAAAGACGGCCUAAUACCCGAUGUGUUUCAUUGACGGCAUCCGAUUGAACAAAGGUUUCCGGUAAGGGAUGGGGAUGCGUCUGAUUAGCUUGUUGGCGGGGCAACGGCCCACCAAGGCGACGAUCAUGGGGUUUGGAGGAAGUCCCCCAAUUGGAACUGGAACGGUCCAAACUCCUACGGGAGGCAGCAGUGAGGAAUAUUGGUCAAUGGACGCAAGUUGAACCAGCCAAGUAGCGUGCAGGAUGACGGCCCUUGGGUUGUAAACUGCUUU
This 395-nucleotide ribosomal RNA is filed under the name Prevotella nigrescens. RNAcentral's name for it is "bacterial SSU rRNA". It matches the Rfam family "Bacterial small subunit ribosomal RNA", at positions 36 to 436 of the family's 1533-position model. The record is from RNAcentral. Lineage: Bacteria; Pseudomonadati; Bacteroidota; Bacteroidia; Bacteroidales; Prevotellaceae.